UGCCCCACCUGUAAGCCUAACUGCAAAC
RNAcentral lists this non-coding RNA (28 nucleotides) under Rattus norvegicus (Norway rat). Lineage: Eukaryota; Metazoa; Chordata; Mammalia; Rodentia; Muridae. The record is from RNAcentral.